CCUACGGGGGGCAGCAGUGGGGAAUAUUGCGCAAUGGACGAAAGUCUGACGCAGCGACGCCGCGUGAGGGAUGAAGGUUUUCGGAUCGUAAACCUCUGUCAGGAGGGAAGAAAGCGCAUGGUGCCAAUCAGCCAUGCGUUGACGGUACCUCCAUAGGAAGUGCCGGCUAACUCCGUGCCAGCAGCCGCGGUAAUACGGAGGGCGCAAGCGUUGAUCGGAAUUACUGGGCGUAAAGCGCGCGUAGGCUGUUGUGUAAGUUGGGUGUGAAAUCCCACGGCUCAACCGUGGAAUUGCCGUUGAUACUGGUCGACUUGAGUCCGGGAGAGGGUGGCGGAAUUCCAGGUGUAGGAGUGAAAUCCGUAGAUAUCUGGAAGAACAUCAGUGGCGAAGGCGGCCACCUGGACCGGUAUUGACGCUGAGGCGCGAAAGCGUGGGGAGCGAACAGGAUUAGAUACCCCUGUAGUC
Molecule: ribosomal RNA, 465 nt
Filed under: uncultured bacterium
Lineage: Bacteria
Description: partial 16S ribosomal RNA
Rfam family: Bacterial small subunit ribosomal RNA
Source: RNAcentral